This 253-nucleotide ribosomal RNA is filed under the name uncultured bacterium. Its description in RNAcentral is "partial 16S ribosomal RNA". It matches the Rfam family "Bacterial small subunit ribosomal RNA", at positions 524 to 776 of the family's 1533-position model. The record is from RNAcentral.
CACGGGGGGAGCAAGCGUUGUUCGGAUUCAUUGGGCGUAAAGGGCUCGUAGGUGGCUUUGUAAGUCGGAGGUGAAAUCCCACGGCUCAACCGUGGACACGCCUUCGAAACUGUGAAGCUUGAGGCUGGGAGAGGAGAUCGGAAUUCCUGGUGUAGCGGUGAAAUGCGUAGAUAUCAGGAGGAACACCGGUGGCGAAGGCGGAUCUCUGGGCCGAUACUGACGCUGAGGAGCGAAAGCGUGGGGAGCGAACAGG